Molecule: ribosomal RNA, 765 nt
Filed under: uncultured bacterium
Lineage: Bacteria
Description: bacterial SSU rRNA
Rfam family: Bacterial small subunit ribosomal RNA
Source: RNAcentral
CGUUCUUGAGUGGGCGAGAAGUAUGCGGAAUGCGUGGUGUAGCGGUGAAAUGCAUAGAUAUCACGCAGAACUCCGAUUGCGAAGGCAGCAUACCGGCGCCCAACUGACGCUGAAGCACGAAAGCGUGGGUAUCGAACAGGAUUAGAUACCCUGGUAGUCCACGCAGUAAACGAUGAAUGCUAAUUGUCCGGAGGAAUUGACCUCUGGGUGAUACAGCGAAAGCGUUAAGCAUUCCACCUGGGGAGUACGCCGGCAACGGUGAAACUCAAAGGAAUUGACGGGGGCCCGCACAAGCGGAGGAACAUGUGGUUUAAUUCGAUGAUACGCGAGGAACCUUACCCGGGCUCAAACGCAGGAGGAAUACAUUUGAAAGGGUGUAGCUCUACGGAGUCUUCUGCGAGGUGCUGCAUGGUUGUUGUCAGCUCGUGCCGUGAGGUGUCGGCUUAAGUGCCAUAACGAGCGCAACCCCUAUCGACGGUUGCCAACAGGUAAAGCUGGGAACUCUGUCGAGACUGCCGGCGCAAGCUGAGAGGAAGGCGGGGAUGACGUCAAAUCAGCACGGCCCUUACGUCCGGGGCGACACACGUGUUACAAUGGCGGCCACAGCGGGAAGCCAGGCGGCGACGCCGAGCGGAACCCGAAAAGCCGUCUCAGUUCGGAUUGGAGUCUGCAACCCGACUCCAUGAAGCUGGAUUCGCUAGUAAUCGCGCAUCAGCCACGGCGCGGUGAAUACGUUCCCGGGCCUUGUACACACCGCCCGUCAAG